This is a long non-coding RNA of Homo sapiens (human), 2095 nucleotides long. Ensembl annotates it as C4A antisense RNA 1. Its record names the gene C4A-AS1. NCBI's taxonomy places the organism in Eukaryota, Metazoa, Chordata, Mammalia, Primates, Hominidae. The record is from Ensembl.
AGCGAUGAGCCCUGGAGUGAGCAGCUGUAUCUCUGGCACCUGGCACAGGGCAUGGCAUGAAGUGAAAGAUUCCCGAAUUUCUGUCGAAUGACUGGAUGGCAGGCUGCUGAACUGUCAUGACCUCUACGGAAACUGAUCUCACCAAACUUCUUUGGACAGACGCGGAGUCAUCUCUGAAGACCCCAGGUGUGCCACUAAAUGGGGGAAAGUUAGGCAGGUCCGGUGGGAAGGGGAGACCCCAGGAGAACAGCGGCUUCCUCAGAGGAUUCACAAACACACCAAAGUCAGACUUUUGGCUUGUUUGAAACCAGUAACUGGAAGAAGACACUGCCGGACCUGAGGAUUGCACAACUCCGGGAAAGUCACCUCAUUCCACUGAUAACAGAACCAAGCGUCAGCAGGCUUUCAACAGCCCGGAACUCAGCUAAAAUCUGCAGACCUCAGAACCGCCAGCAGCACGAGGACAGAGUCGGGGAGGUGUAGCUGGACAACAGCUCAUGAGGCAAACUUCAUCCUGUAGCCAUCCUCGUCCUGCAGACCCCGCUCCAGGGCGCGACGCUGGCGAGGGCACUUCCCUGAAGUUGGGGAACCCAUCAGACAGUGUGGGGGGGGCCCCGGCCAUCCCGCCUCCACUGCCCCGCCCCAGGCCCUCAGUCUCACCCUCAGCACACUGGCAGACUUCAGCAGAACACAAGGUGGCCAAGAGUCUGCUCUUACUUGGUGCCCCGUAAAACACAGAACAUCUGCGCUCUGGAGAACAGAGAGGAGUUAGGGCACAGGCCCCUCCAUUCUGCCUCCUCAGUCCCAGGGAGCCCCAGGGCUCUCUGCCCCCUCACUACCCCGGUGUCCAUUGUCCCAUAGGAGGGCACCUAUGCCAAAGUUCUCCUGAAUUUCAGGGUGUCCUGCAGUGCUCACCGGGGUUGUAGUAGUCGUACAGGGUUGCGCUGGCCGGCUGCACCAGCCCCACCGGCACUUCCUGCACAGCCUCAAAGCCCACGCACUCCCGGGAGGUGGGGACCUGGCCAAGCGUGGGGAGGAGAGAUGAGGGACCCACUCCCUGGGCCCUGCAGCCCCCUGUACUGGGUUUCCUUGGCCUGUUUUUGUUUGCUUCCUAUUGGCCUUCUCUCCAGUGUCCUUCACAUUCUGUUACCUUCCUACUCAGAGAACUCUCAAAGCUGCUCCGCAAGGUCUCUGGUGACUUCACUUCCCAGAGGGUGACCUUGCCCCAGUCUUCACUGCUCCAGGCCCUCAGCAGAGUCUUGCAUCAUGGACGUGUUCUCUGUGAAACUGUCCCUAAGCUAAGGGUUAGCUUCUGGACCACCCUUGGUUCUGACCUGGUCAUUUCUUACGUUCCCUCCUUCGGAACUUCCUUCCUCAGAGCUCCCCUGUGGGGGUCUCAACCACUCCCUGGCUUCCACCAAACCAAUCCAGGCUGAUGAUUCCCAAACUGAACUUGCAGCUCCAUCCUUGCAUUAGGAUUGUGGCAGGACCUGUAAGUUCUCCAAGGCACUCUGCCUGCCCCCAAACCCACUCGCCCUCCUCGCGGCCUCAUCUUUGUCAUGGAUACAACUGGGUCCUCCUUUAUUUGCCACAACCUAACUGCAGGUUCUGUCAUCCUGCCUGACCCCCCGACUCAGGUCCCAGGCCUGACCCCUCCUCGUGCCCACGCGGGCCCAGUCCACACGGUGCCGUGCCAGUGUCCCUCCUGAGCUAGGCUGCUGCACCGUCAGCUCCCUAUCCGGGAAUCUUGUUGGCUCUGUGUUUUCUAUUGUGUUCAACCCAGAUGUGUCAGCCAGGCUUCCCCAGCUGAUGGGGGCUGGCCCCUCUGCACACACUGGGUAGGGGUCUCCCUGACCUACAAACAGCUGGCUAAUGACAGCCACCACACCUUUCUCACAUUUUCUCCCAGAGGUUACAGUAAAUGUUCCAAAACUUUUUUUGAAGGCCGGGCAUGGUGGCUCUGGCCUGUAAAUCCGGUACUUUGAAAGGCCUAGGCCAGAGGAUCGCUUGAGGCCGGGAGUUCAAGACCAGCCUGGGCAACAGAGCGAGACCCUGUCUUUACUAAAUAAAUAAAUAAAAAUGUUUUGAGAGCCGU